GCUGCGGUAGCUCAGUGGUAGAGCACACCCUUGGUAAGGGUGAGGUCAAGAGUUCAAUCCUCUUUCGCAGCACCA
RNAcentral lists this transfer RNA (75 nucleotides) under Hyphomicrobiaceae bacterium. RNAcentral's name for it is "tRNA-Thr". It matches the Rfam family "tRNA". Rfam says of the family: Transfer RNA (tRNA) molecules are approximately 80 nucleotides in length. Their secondary structure includes four short double-helical elements and three loops (D, anti-codon, and T loops). Further hydrogen bonds mediate the characteristic L-shaped molecular structure. tRNAs have two regions of fundamental functional importance: the anti-codon, which is responsible for specific mRNA codon recognition, and the 3' end, to which the tRNAs corresponding amino acid is attached (by aminoacyl-tRNA synthetases). tRNAs cope with the degeneracy of the genetic code in two manners: having more than one tRNA (with a specific anti-codon) for a particular amino acid; and 'wobble' base-pairing, i.e. permitting non-standard base-pairing at the 3rd anti-codon position. Lineage: Bacteria; Pseudomonadati; Pseudomonadota; Alphaproteobacteria; Hyphomicrobiales; Hyphomicrobiaceae. The record is from RNAcentral.